This 153-nucleotide small RNA is filed under the name Pelotomaculum thermopropionicum. RNAcentral's name for it is "c-di-AMP sequence". It matches the Rfam family "c-di-AMP riboswitch aptamer (ydaO/yuaA leader)". Rfam says of the family: This family represents a conserved RNA structure found upstream of the ydaO and yuaA genes in Bacillus subtilis and related genes in other bacteria. The ydaO/yuaA element is thought to act as a genetic "off" switch for the ydaO and yuaA genes in its native state. RNAcentral also lists the same sequence under 1 other name. Lineage: Bacteria; Bacillati; Bacillota; Clostridia; Eubacteriales; Desulfotomaculaceae. The record is from RNAcentral.
GGGCAAAAACAGCCGAAUCCCGGAAAAUUACCAACCGGGUACGGGGGAACCAUUUUUUAGGGGUGAAUCCCAACUCACAUCUCACAUCUCAUAGGGUAGGAUAUCUUUUACCGAACCCGUCAGCUAACCCCGGAGGCGAAAAAGAAAGGGGAU